Molecule: ribosomal RNA, 368 nt
Filed under: uncultured Anoxybacillus sp.
Lineage: Bacteria; Bacillati; Bacillota; Bacilli; Caryophanales; Anoxybacillaceae
Description: bacterial SSU rRNA
Rfam family: Bacterial small subunit ribosomal RNA
Source: RNAcentral
CCUUCGGGAGCCCGAAGACAGGUGCUGCAUGGCUGUCGUCAGCUCGCGUCGUGAGAUGUUGGGUUAAGUCCCGCAACGAGCGCAACCCUCGACCUUAGUUGCCAGCAUUCAGGUUGGGCACUCGUAAGGUGACUGCCGGCUAAAAGUCGGAGGAAGGUGGGGAUGACGUCAAAUCAUCACUGCCCCUUAUGGACCUGGGCUACACACGUGCUACAAUGGGCGGUACAAAGGGUCGCGAACCCGCGAGGGGGAGCCAAUCCCAAAAAGCCGCUCUCAGUUCGGAUUGCAGGCUGCAACUCGCCUGCAUGAAGCCGGAAUCGCUAGUAAUCGCGGAUCAGCAUGCCGCGGUGAAUACGUUCCCGGGCCUU